RNAcentral lists this long non-coding RNA (604 nucleotides) under Pan troglodytes (chimpanzee). RNAcentral's name for it is "lincRNA". Lineage: Eukaryota; Metazoa; Chordata; Mammalia; Primates; Hominidae. The record is from RNAcentral.
UGUCUGUUCUAACACGUGCCAUUUGGGAUCCCUUGGAAUCUUCAUGUACAGAACUGGUUGCUGCCUCGUUGAGUCGGUGGGGACAGAAUAGCUCCUGGUUGACAGCAUGGGUUGUGCAGAAGGACGGAUCCUGCAGACAUCAAUAUCUGGCUUUGAGUGGCACAAAGAAAUAAAGGAACGUGGAUUCAGACCUCACUGGGAUGCUUGGCAAUUCUAAUUCUACCCCAGACUGCAAAUGGACACACAACUGUUGUGACUUUUGUUGAAGAGGAGAAGGAUGGUGAAGGUCUCUUUAGUCAAUAAUCUCUUUGCUGAAAUUGCUUCGGGCAGCACAGAAGCUGGAUUCAGAAGCACACAGGUCUGGGGAUGCAGGCUUCGGCCAGCCUGAUGCAAGGAAAGACUGCCAUCUCGUGGUCAGCUCAAUCCUGGCACCUUGGUGAGGGUCCAGGCUGCAGAAAACCAGGCUUGGGGAGGAAAUGGUGCUGCAAACUGGAUUUCUGCCGGACAGUGUGGAUGCCCUUAGAAAACACCCAGAAAAGAGCUGAGUGCCCCCCAAGGUAGGCUUCAGUGAAUCCUCUGCAGGUGUGUUGUCAUCCCUUGAGCC